Molecule: ribosomal RNA, 253 nt
Filed under: uncultured bacterium
Lineage: Bacteria
Description: partial 16S ribosomal RNA
Rfam family: Bacterial small subunit ribosomal RNA
Source: RNAcentral
UACAGAGGGUGCGAGCGUUGUUCGGAAUCACUGGGCGUAAAGGGCGCGUAGGUGGUGACCUAAGCGUGCGGUGAAAGCCCGAGGCUCAACCUCGGGUCGGCCGUGCGAACUGGGUCACUGGAGCAGAAUAGAGGCAGGUGGAAUUCCGGGUGUAGCGGUGGAAUGCGUAGAGAUCCGGAAGAACACCGGUGGCGAAGGCGGCCUGCUGGGUUCUGGCUGACACUGAGGCGCGACAGCGUGGGGAGCAAACAGG